UGCAGACUCUCAAGGAGGCCUUAGCUGCCUCCAUUUUGUUCGCCUAAUUCAUUUUACUUAAUGAAUGAAGCAGCUAGCUUGUUACCUUUCUCUCAAAAAAAAAACUGCAUGCAAAUAUAAAUUCAGUGUUUGGUUUAAUAUAUUUAACUUUAAUUGCUGCAGUAGAAAUUGCAAGAGGAGGACCAACUGGAGCAGUUGGAACUACGCCCAAAUUGGCCGCAGUUUCAACUACAGUAAUUUAAGAAAAUAAUUUUAAACAAAAGAUAUCCGUAUUUCUUUAAAAAAUAUAUAUUUUUUACAUUGAGGGCGCGUUUGGUUCGCUCUAUGAAAGAUUACUAGGAAUAAAAAGAUGUCCGAGAAUCUUAUUCCUAUUCAUCCUAUUACUAAAAAUAUGACAUUCUUGUGUUUGGUUCGUACGGUUAUAUUAUUUAAUCAUGUUAUUUAAGAUUACAAAAACUAUACAAUUAAUUUAUUUNCUAAACUUGUCGAAGUGCUUUACUUUACUCAUUGUUUUAGAGAAAUAAUCAUUGCCUCACUUGGUUCAUUUGUACAUUCAGUGCAGCACAAAUCCGUUUGCCCUUAAUCCAUCCCAUACUUUCAAUCAACCAUCUAAUGUUUAAGUAGGAAAAAGGCUUUUUUAAAUGGAUGGCAGGGAUUGAUAUAUGAGAUGGGUUCAAUGGCUGAUGGAUGCUUUGUAUAUGGAUGUACAGAUACAAUGGAUACAUGCAAUAAUUUUUUUCUCUGAGCCGAGGAAUAAAGUGAAGCACUUAGAUUUGGGAUUUCAAAUGUUCGACUUUUUGAGCGCUAGAGUGGAACUUGAUUAAAAGUUUUGGGACUAGCGGUGCAACACUCUUGUUUCUUUAGUUUGCGCUAUGUUUUUUUUUCUUUUCCCAACAGAUAGUAAAAGCCAGAGAGAAUUUGCUGGUAGACCUGCCGCAUCGGACCAAGCCAAAACCUCAGAGAAUUGUAAAAGAACCCCCCUCUGACAAAGAGAAUGUUAGUUCCUCCCCCACCGAAGAGAAAGUCAUAUUGCCUUUAACCACCCAAAAAGAAGUCAUUAUAUCAGAAAAACCUUCAAUCCACGAAGAUGUUGUAACCGAAAAGCAUCCUGUUGAAACUUCUGAAGUAAAAAUUGUCGACAAGUCCAUAAUCAAAGAAGAAUUAUCAACUGAAAGUAGGGGCAAGGAUUUACCUAUUGCGACAUCAAAUGUAUCCUUGCAAAAGGAUGAAGAGGAUGGCGAUGACUGGUUCGAAGAAGAAGAGACUGGUGAAUCAAACAGCAUGAGAGGCGCUUCUAUUCCAAUAUUAGGGAAUGAGGAAGAUGUAUCCUUCAGCGAUUUAGAGGAGGAAGACAAUGAACAAGGCAGGGAUAUUAUUUCAAGAACAGCGCCUAAUGUGGAAGGUUCUAGAACAAAUACGUCAAGAGGGUGGGUUCAGUUGAACAAAGGUUCUCCACAGACUACCGAAGGCAAUGAUUGGUCAGAUAUCGAAGAUAUCGAUGUGGCGUAGCCAAUGAUCCUGCCGUAUCUUAUUGCGAGGUAUGCUUCGUUGGUCUAUUAUAUCUCUCCAUGCUUCUAGUUUUAUUCUGCUGCUCGAGUUUGUUUGGACUAGCAGAUGUUUUGUACAUAAAAGGCCUCAUGAGCUACUGUACAUCUUUCUACGGUACUUAUGUUUAUUUCCCGUUCUCCUUUGCAUCAUGCACGAGUCAAUGAAUUCCACUCGAACAAGCUGAUGACAACCUGUCUUGAUCAUGGCAUCAUAAAAAAGCUGAAGGUUGUAUUUGCAUUAAUUAUUACAGCAGUUUUCUUGUUGUAUGAUGUCGAUAUGACUUUGCAGUGAUGUGUUUUUUCAAUCAGAACUAGUUAAAUCAAUGGCCACCGAGUAGGAUGAGAUAAGACGAGAGAGUGAUGUUGCUCGAGAAUGAGAAUUUAUUGAAUAUCGAGAUAUUGAGGAUGCGCGAGGUUGGAAUUGUUGAAUCUUAUCAGGCCAAUAAUCCUACAGGAAGGGGAUUAUCGAAUCUCACUGGAGAGGUUGGAUUGUACAGUAUCAGAUUCGCUAAUUCCCAUUGUAGUCAUUGUGACCCAUGCCGUUGCUAAAAUCCUUGUUUCUUUCCUUUCGGACAUUGUUUUUUCAUCUUAUUCUAUUCGAUACAAUUUUGAGUGCUAGAUUCUACAAAUUGUAUACCGCUCUUGUAUUCUGAUGGAGAGGUGUAUUCCUCGACCUCGUGAUUCGAACCUACUUCUCAAUCAUAUGCAGCUUGUUUGUUUCACCUAAGGUAAAAUUUAGAUUGAAUUAAACUUUUGCAUAAAUUAGAAAUCAAAUAAAUUUUAAAAAAAUUAUUUAUAUAGCUGUGAAAUUAAAGUUUUUUUACCUUUUUUUUUCUUUUUCUUUUUUUUUUUUGGCUUGGCUGUUGAGUAGGGCUGCUGUGCUCUCAGAAGCAUGGAGGCCUCCGUGCUCCUGAGCCGUUUUCGAUGAUGAAAUUUUCGAAUCGACGAUCGGUUCCGUUAGACUUGAUUUAGGAUAUUUGAAGUUUUUAGAAAAUAAUUUUUGUGAUUUUUUGAUAUCAUUUACCUAGUGAUCGAAGGGAUUCAAAAUCAAUAAUUUUUAACGGAUGAAAAUAAAAAUCCUAUAAAAAGUGGUGAUAUAGCACUAAAAUUUUCGAUCAGAAAUGNUUUUUUUUUUUGCUGCAGACUCUCAAGGAGGCCUUAGCUGCCUCCAUUUUGUUCGCCUAAUUCAUUUUACUUAAUGAAUGAAGCAGCUAGCUUGUUACCUUUCUCUCAAAAAAAAAACUGCAUGCAAAUAUAAAUUCAGUGUUUGGUUUAAUAUAUUUAACUUUAAUUGCUGCAGUAGAAAUUGCAAGAGGAGGACCAACUGGAGCAGUUGGAACUACGCCCAAAUUGGCCGCAGUUUCAACUACAGUAAUUUAAGAAAAUAAUUUUAAACAAAAGAUAUCCGUAUUUCUUUAAAAAAUAUAUAUUUUUUACAUUGAGGGCGCGUUUGGUUCGCUCUAUGAAAGAUUACUAGGAAUAAAAAGAUGUCCGAGAAUCUUAUUCCUAUUCAUCCUAUUACUAAAAAUAUGACAUUCUUGUGUUUGGUUCGUACGGUUAUAUUAUUUAAUCAUGUUAUUUAAGAUUACAAAAACUAUACAAUUAAUUUAUUUAUUUCUUUAAUUAAUUUUAGAUAAUGCGACAAAAAAUUUCAAUAUCUUUUUAGAAAAAAGGAGAGAGAAAGUAGGUUAGAGAGAGAGAGCAUAAUUAAAGAAACAAAAAGAGAAAUAAAGUCGAGAUUUGAGGGAGUGAGAGAGUUAAGGUUUUAGAAAAAGAGGGGAAGGAAAAGUUUAGCUUAGAAAGAGAAAAAGAGUUGAAAUUUAAAAAGAAAAAGAUAAGUUUAGAGAGAGAUAAUGAGGUUAGAGUGUAAAGGAAAAUAAUACCAAUUAGCUGGCGGGUAGGGAGAAAUAAAAAGAUUAGAUACAUUAUAAUUAUCCCAAUCCAUUAAUAUGAGAUACUCACCCUCCAUCAAGAGAAUGAGAUUAGUACUUUGGGAUGAAUCUCAUUCCUAAGUAAAAUACAAUAUUACCAAUUAGAUUACUUAGUGUGUUUAGCCAAAUACCGUUAUAUUUUUUUAUUACUAUUGGAUUAUUAGGAAUCUUAAAAAAAUAGCGCGAACCAAACGCACCAUGAAGAUAAUCUCAUCAUCAUAUAUAUAAAAUAAUAAACUUUUAAAAAAUUAUUUCUCGACUGCAUGCAACUAAAUAAAUUAUUUAUAAUUGUAAUAUUUUAUACUAUAUCCAAUUAAACAGUAUGCAUAUAGUUACAACUACUAUAUUUUCUAUUACAUGUAUUUUUAAUUAUACUGUAUUCUUAACUACAUCUAAGCAGAUGUUCCCCAAAUUAAUGGAAUUAUUAUUUGAUAAAAAAUAAAG
RNAcentral lists this long non-coding RNA (3922 nucleotides) under Ananas comosus (pineapple). RNAcentral describes it as "long non-coding RNA (ACOM_LNC006664)". Lineage: Eukaryota; Viridiplantae; Streptophyta; Magnoliopsida; Poales; Bromeliaceae. The record is from RNAcentral.